Molecule: long non-coding RNA, 2853 nt
Filed under: Homo sapiens (human)
Lineage: Eukaryota; Metazoa; Chordata; Mammalia; Primates; Hominidae
Description: long non-coding RNA NONHSAT047826.2
Source: RNAcentral
CCAGCUCGCAGCCCUUGCUCCGCGUGUACUCACGGGAGGACUCGCAGACGUUACUGCCCUCUUGCGUGCCCCGGCCACCCCCGGGCGGCUUGUAGCCGGUGCGCGGGGUGGCUGGGGCUACGUGCAGAGCUGUCGCGGAGCCGGAACAGCAGCGGUGAAGCCCCUCGGCUCGGCCGAGACCGCCGUGCCCACUGCUCGCCUCGGUUGCCGCCGCUUUAGCCGCAGCCGCUGCUGCCGCCGCCGGGGGAGAGGCAGCCUAUUGUCUUUCUCCGCGGCGAAGGUGGCAUUUUUCAACUCCGCUGGAGCCAAUGCCCAGGAGGAACAAAGGGUGUGCUGCCAGCCCCUGGCUCACCCAGUGGCCUCGUCCCAGAAAAAGCCAGAGGUAGCGGCCCCAGCCCCAGAGAGUGGGGGUGAGUCUGUGUUUGGGGAGACCCACCGGGCCCUGCAGGGGGCCAUGGAGAAGCUGCAGGAAAGUACAUCAGCCAGGGGGCAGUGUCAGAGACGCAGCACUGGGAGAGGAGGACAUCGUCAGGCUGGCCCAGGACCAGGAGGAGAUGAAGGUGAACCUGCAGGAGCUGCGGGGCAGGUGUUGCAGCUUGUGGGAGACCACAAGGAGGGGCAUGGCAAAUUCUGACCAUUGCCCAGAACCCUGCUGAUGAGCCCACUCUAGGAGCCCCAAUAGCCCAGGAGCUUGGGUGUGCUGACGAGCAGGGUGAUCACCACUGGAUUGCUGACAGAUAGAGGACGUGGGACCGUGACUAUCACCCCUAAUCUGCAGUGGAUUUGGCUCUCGGCACUCCCAGGCUGGGAGCUGGAUACCUGCCCUGGCAGCAUGACUCAGACUGCAUGACAGUCACAGACUCGCCUCUGCUCCUGUGGUCCAGUGGCCGGACACCCCCUGGGAUGGCUCAAAGGAGUCAGGACUUGGAAGUGGGGACAUCAGGGUAGCUGAAGGAAAUCCACACACCCAGAGCAUCUCGGAGUUCAGACUCUCAGACCUGAAGUAGGCGCCCCCGGGACUGGGCUAGGAGUUGGACGGAAUGGAGGAUGGAGGACAGCGAGAAGAAAGGAAGAGAAAUGCAAAGUGUGGGCAGCCGCCAAGAGUGAAAAUAGAGGGAAGUGUCAUGCAAGUGCUGGACAGAAGGCGGCAGGUGGGACGAGCCCCACAGCCCCCUCCUCAAAAACGACCACCUCCAGGACUCAGUGAUCCCUGGGGGGCAGGCUCUGCCAGCCCUCGGCCACACGUGGCUCCGGCACCCAUGGUCCCAGUGCCUUGGAUGGAGACGGCCAGUUCUGGCGGCCAGAUGUGGUGCUCUGGAAUCCAGUCCCAUUUCCUUCCUGGCCACGCCUGUCCAGCGGCCUCUUCAGCCGCAUUCAGCCCCUACUUACCUGGGGACCCCGGCUGGGGCACGAGAGCACCAGGGGGGUAGGGCCCAAAGGGAUCAGGGGAAGCCUCUGGCCUGGAGGGUAUGGGGCACGCUUCCCCAAGGGCGGACCCGGCAGGAGGAAGCCCAGGAGCUGGGUCCUGCCGCCCAGGAGCUGGGCCCUGCCACCCAGGCCGGGCUAGGGACAUGGCAGGGCCUGGGCAUCCUGACGCUGGACUUGGGCGACCUGGGAGGCACAGGGAGGGGAGAGAUGGGCGACCCCGCCCCAGCGCAGUGCCGGCCACACCCCAAGGCAGUUGCCAGAGCUUAAGCCCCGCCCCCAGCAGCGAGAACAUCCCAGCUCCACACCCCCCCCCCCCCCGCAGCCAGUGCUCCUUGUCAAGCUCCCCCCGUCACUCCAGGUGGGAGCCACCCCGGUGAGGGGGUGUGCCACUUGCCCCCAGGGCACUCCUCUGGGCAUCCCGGGUGGGGGAUUUUGGGGCCGUGGGGGGCAGUCUUUGGUACCUGUGUUCGUCAGGGAUGCUCUGACAACCAGGUGUCGUCCACGGGCGGGGGCAUGGGCAUGGUGACAGUGGUCCUGUUGAUGUCACCGAUGAUGCUGAGCGCCUCCUUCAGCGCGUGGUGCAUGUGCAGCAUCUCGUCGUGCUGCUGUGCCUGCUCUGCCAACUCCUCCAUCAGUGUGUUCUGGUUCCCACAUGAGUACAUAUUGGCCAGCAGCUCCGAGAUGAUGAACUCCGGGGUCUGAGAGUGGGCAAACAGGGAAGAAGGUUGGGACCUGGUGCCUGUGCCGCCCUGGCUGCCUUGCUGGGCCCUUCUGGGACUGUGCGCUGGACUUGGAGCCCCUUGGAGUAUGGCUUUUCACACGGGCUUCUAUACCGCUUCGACUGGAAGAUCCACCUCCCCACUGCCUUUUCUCACUCAGAUGGGGACACCGAGGUCCAGAGGAAAAGACACCUGUCAAAUGUCACAGAUCUGGGAGGGGACUUAAGACUUAUCAUGCCAAGAGGACACCUGUCUACUCAGUUUUUUUUUGGUGGGGCGGGGGGCGGUGAUAGGGUCUCGCUCUGUCACCAGGCUGGAGUACAGUGAUGACUGCUCACUGCAGCCUCCACCUCCUGGGCUCAAAGUGAUCCUCCAACGUCAGCCUCUCGAGGAGCUAGGACUACAGGCACAUGCCACCACCAAGCCCAGCUAUUUUUAAAAUUUUUGUGUGGAGACAAGGUCUCACUAUGUGGCCCAGGCUGGUCUCGAACUCCUGGGCUCAAGUGAUCCUCCUGCCUCGGCCUCCAGGAGUGGGAGUUGGAGUUGAUGCCUGGAUACAGGAGCUCUGUGGGUGGGAGUGAGACAAAACACAGGGUCCUGAGCUCUGGGGACCAAGCAAUGUCCUCUGGUGAAAAAAAUCCUGGACUUGCUGGCAGAAGAUUUGCCUCUUACUCGCCAUGUGCUCUGAAUACAUUUACCUGCCCUC